CUCUGAUUCUUUCUUUCUUUCUCUAUCUCCCACACACGGUUAAAAGCUUUCCCACUAGUCUCUGCACAUGUCUUCUCCGUUCUUACACGAAGGUUCGUAGAGAAAGAGGGAGAGAUCCAAUGCGGUGCUCUCUACCGCACUUACCGUGCACUUCACUGGUCGUAUUGUUCUUGUCGGUGGCAACUGUCUGCUUAGCCGCCGACCCUUACGUUUUCUUCGACUGGACUGUCUCUUACCUCACUGCUUCUCCUCUAGGCACUCGCCAACAGGUUAUUGGGAUCAAUGGGCAGUUCCCUGGUCCCAUUCUCAAUGUAACUACGAACUGGAAUGUGGUUGUCAACGUGAAGAAUAAUCUUGAUGAGCCCUUGCUUCUCACAUGGAAUGGAAUCCAACAUAGGAAAAACUCGUGGCAAGACGGUGUUUUGGGCACUAACUGUCCGAUACCUUCUGGUUGGAACUGGACAUAUGAGUUUCAAGUCAAAGACCAGAUUGGUAGUUUCUUUUAUUUCCCAUCUACAAACUUCCAGAGAGCAGCUGGUGGUUACGGUGGCAUCAUUAUCAACAAUAGAGACAUCAUUCCAGUUCCUUUUCUUUUGCCUGAUGGAGAUGUUACUCUCUUUAUCAGUGAUUGGUUCACUAAGAGCCAUAAGAAGCUGAGGAAAGAUGUUGAGAGUAAGAUUGACUUUGGAGCUCCUGAUGGCAUUCUCAUCAAUGGCUUUGGACCUUUUCCUUACAGUAGUGAGCUCGCUUCGGGUGGGUUUCCUUAUGGGACAAUAAACGUUGAACCAGGAAGAACAUACCGCUUCCGUGUUCACAACAGUGGCAUAGCAACCACCUUGAACUUCAGAAUACAGAAUCAUAAUCUGCUUCUUGUCGAGACAGAAGGUUCAUACACAGUUCAGCAGAACUACACAAACAUGGACAUUCAUGUGGGUCAAUCUUUUUCGUUUCUAGUCACUAUGGAUCAGUCCGGUAGUAACGACUACUACAUUGUUGCCAGCACAAGGUUUACCAAAUCAUCCUCGUCCCCCAAAGCUACCGGAGUCGCUAUCUUGCACUACUCUAGCUCCCAAGGACCAGCUUCAGGUCCACUCCCUGAUCCUCCUAUUGAGUUGGACACAUCUUUCUCAAUGAACCAAGCACGUUCCAUAAGGUUGAAUGUCUCAGCUGGAGCUGCUCGCCCAAACCCUCAGGGAUCAUUCAAGUAUGGUCAGAUUACAGUAACUGAUGUCUACGUGAUUGUCAACAGACCACCAGAGAAGAUAGAUGGGAGGUUGCGUGCCACUCUUAAUGGUAUAUCGUACUUGCCUCCUUCAACACCGUUAAAGCUUGCUCAGCAGUACAACAUCUCAGGGGUGUAUAAGCUGGAUUUUCCGAAAAGACCGAUGAAUCGGCAUCCUAAGGUUGAUACCUCUGUCAUGAAUGGCACUUACAAGGGGUUCAUGGAGAUUAUAUUUCAGAAUAGUGACACUACUGUUAAGAGCUAUCACUUGGAUGGUUAUGCAUUCUUUGUUGUCGGGAUGGACUUUGGUCUGUGGACAGAGAAUAGUAGAAGUUUAUACAACAAAGGGGAUGGGGUUGCUAGAUCUACUACGCAGCUUUCCAGGUGUUUCCUGGUGCAUGGACCGCUAUCUUAGUUUACUUGGACAAUGCUGGCAUGUGGAACCUUCGAAUAGACAAUCUCGCCUCAUGGUAUCUAGGACAAGAGGUGUACUUGAAUGUAGUUAAUCCUGAGAUUGACACAUCUGAGAAUUCCAUUCCUGAAAACACCAUUUACUGUGGUCGGCUCUCACCAUUACAAAGGGAUCAGUCACAGAGGGUAAACUUCUCGGGAUCACCGAGAUCUGUGUUGGUGACAAGCAGAGGGAUCCUCCUUGCUAUUUUUGCAAUCUUAAUUAGUAGUUUAGCCAGAUGAGGAUUCUGAGGUUUUCAAGCAGGACAGUAAGAAGCUGCCAGCCACUACCAUCAUUAUUAGAAGUUGAUAAUGUUGGUGUAGUAGCUUGAAGAUUAGAGAUGCUGUUUUUUUAGUUAUGGUGUAGAGAUUAUUCAACUAUCCAUCAAGGCAUCAAAAUAUAUGUUAAUGCUUGAAUUGUAAUAGAAUAUUAUUUUUCAAGUUACAGAUGACUAUGGUGGAUAGAAGAACUUAGUUAUUAAGACA
RNA transcript from Brassica napus (rape), 2158 nucleotides. It is a transcript of the gene named monocopper oxidase-like protein SKU5, with no coding region annotated. The transcript is spliced from 9 exons. The record is from RefSeq and is a predicted model, not a curated record. NCBI's taxonomy places the organism in Eukaryota, Viridiplantae, Streptophyta, Magnoliopsida, Brassicales, Brassicaceae.